RNAcentral lists this ribosomal RNA (512 nucleotides) under uncultured bacterium. RNAcentral's name for it is "bacterial SSU rRNA". It matches the Rfam family "Bacterial small subunit ribosomal RNA", at positions 1 to 525 of the family's 1533-position model. The record is from RNAcentral.
UAGAGUUUGAUCAUGGCUCAGGACGACCGUUGGCGGCGUGCUUAACACAUGCAAGUCGAACGAGAAUUGAUCUUUAGUUUACUAGAGAUCAAGGAAAGUGGCGAACGGGUGAGUAACGCGUAGGUAACCAACCUUACACAGGGGGAUAGCCCCGGGAAACUGGGAGUAAUACCGCAUAAGACCACAGCAUCGCAUGGUGCAGUGGUAAAAACCACGGUGGUGUAAGACGGACCUGCGUCCCAUUAGUUAGUUGGUGAGGUAACGGCUCACCAAGACCGCGAUGGGUAGCCGACCUGAGAGGGUGAUCGGCCACAUUGGGACUGAGACACGGCCCAGACUCCUACGGGAGGCAGCAGUGGGGAAUAUUGCGCAAUGGAGGAAACUCUGACGCAGCAACGCCGCGUGAGUGAAGAAGGUUUUCGGAUCGUAAAGCUCUGUCUUUGGGGACGAAUAAAAUGACGGUAUCCAAGGAGGAAGCCCCGGCUAACUACGUGCCAGCAGCCGCGGUAAUA